RNAcentral lists this ribosomal RNA (441 nucleotides) under uncultured bacterium. RNAcentral's name for it is "bacterial SSU rRNA". It matches the Rfam family "Bacterial small subunit ribosomal RNA", at positions 958 to 1398 of the family's 1533-position model. The record is from RNAcentral.
AACGCGAAGAACCUUACCUGGGCUCGAAAUGCUACGGACCAGCUUAUGAAAGUUUGCCUUCCCGCAAGGGACCGUAGUAUAGGUGCUGCAUGGCUGUCGUCAGCUCGUGUCGUGAGAUGUUGGGUUAAGUCCCGCAACGAGCGCAACCCUUGUCCUGUGUUGCCAUACCGAAAGGUGGAACUCGCAGGAGACCGCCAGGGAUAACCUGGAGGAAGGUGGGGAUGACGUCAAGUCCUCAUGGCCUUUAUGUCCAGGGCUACACACGUGCUACAAUGGUAGGUACAAAGGGUUGCUAAUCCGCAAGGUGGAGCCAAUCCCAUAAAGCCUAUCGUAGUCUGGAUCGGAGUCUGCAACUCGACUCCGUGAAGUCGGAAUCGCUAGUAAUCGUAGAUCAGCAUUGCUACGGUGAAUACGUUCCCGGGCCUUGUACACACCGCUGUA